This is a non-coding RNA of Arachis ipaensis, 899 nucleotides long. Lineage: Eukaryota; Viridiplantae; Streptophyta; Magnoliopsida; Fabales; Fabaceae. The record is from RefSeq and is a predicted model, not a curated record.
GUCCAAUACAUGGACAACAAUACAUCAAAAGUGGGUUUUCCCAAAUGCAUAAUCAAACAUAGAAUAGUCUAGAAAAAAAGCCUUCAAGGUUCAGAGGAAAAAAAUUGAGUAGUUGAACGUAAUGUUCAAAGAAAAGGAAGAUCAUCUUGGCAGAGAAGAUAACAUAGCAAACUCCAUUGCAACAUUUUCCGCCUGAGAUAGAAUUUUCUCAGGUUCAGACUCUCUUCCAUCCAUUGCCAUGGAGCUUGGUGUUGGUGCUCUAACGAAACCAGAUUCUGGCCUAGCUUGGACCAAACAUCAGCUGAGACUGGCAUGCAAAUAAGCAAUGGAAUGCACUCUCCUCUUGACGAUCGCACCAAGGACAAAUUGGAGAUAUGUGAGACAAUCUAGAGUCGAUCUUUGACAUGGUAGAUAGAAGGACCUCCAAUGACAUUUGUAUUUCACCACGGUGGAAAGUUUAAAACCGACAUAAGGGGAAGAAUGAUUUAUGAACCAGAUCACACGGAAGUGUUAAUGGAUAUAUAUUGAGGCAGAUACAGUAGAUAUUUUUUUUGUGAAGGGGUAUUAUAAGGAGUUAGGGUAUGAGGCGAACAACUGCGUUUGGAAGGUUCUCUGAUUGUCUCUAGAGUUUCGCUUAAAGAAGUUAGACGUUGAUGCUGAUUUGAUUGCGAUGAUCAAGUCUUGUAGGAGGAAUAACAAUGUUAUUAACAUAUACUUUGAGCAUGGGGUUUCAGAACCACAACUGGUGGAGGGCGUGUGUAAGAAGUAGCUGUACUUGCAGAUUUUAUGACGUUUGUUCCUACUCCAGGAUUCAAACCUCCUAGGAAAAAGGAUAAGCUUACUUGAUGCUGAUAUCUGAACAUUAUGUGAUUAGGACUAGUGAUAUAUUUUUUGUAUAG